AUUGAACGCUGGCGGCAUGCUUUACACAUGCAAGUCGAACGGCAGCGCGGGCUUCGGCCUGGCGGCGAGUGGCGAACGGGUGAGUAAUACAUCGGAACGUGCCCAGUAGUGGGGGAUAGCUCGGCGAAAGCCGGAUUAAUACCGCAUACGACCUGAGGGUGAAAGCGGGGGAUCUUCGGACCUCGCGCUAUUGGAGCGGCCGAUGGCAGAUUAGCUAGUUGGUGGGGUAAAGGCCUACCAAGGCGACGAUCUGUAGCUGGUCUGAGAGGACGACCAGCCACACUGGGACUGAGACACGGCCCAGACUCCUACGGGAGGCAGCAGUGGGGAAUUUUGGACAAUGGGCGAAAGCCUGAUCCAGAAAUGCCGCGUGUGUGAUGAAGGCCUUCGGGUUGUAAAGCACUUUUGGCGGGAACGAAAAGGAAUGUGCCAAUACCACGGUUCGAUGACGGUACCCGCAGAAUAAGCACCGGCUAACUACGUG
This 484-nucleotide ribosomal RNA is filed under the name uncultured bacterium. Its description in RNAcentral is "partial 16S ribosomal RNA". It matches the Rfam family "Bacterial small subunit ribosomal RNA", at positions 29 to 507 of the family's 1533-position model. The record is from RNAcentral.